RNAcentral lists this ribosomal RNA (741 nucleotides) under Staphylococcus sp. RNAcentral's name for it is "bacterial SSU rRNA". It matches the Rfam family "Bacterial small subunit ribosomal RNA", at positions 56 to 779 of the family's 1533-position model. The record is from RNAcentral. Lineage: Bacteria; Bacillati; Bacillota; Bacilli; Caryophanales; Staphylococcaceae.
UGCAGUCGAGCGAACAGAUAAGGAGCUUGCUCCUUUGACGUUAGCGGCGGACGGGUGAGUAACACGUGGGUAACCUACCUAUAAGACUGGAAUAACUCCGGGAAACCGGGGCUAAUGCCGGAUAACAUUUAGAACCGCAUGGUUCUAAAGUGAAAGAUGGUUUUGCUAUCACUUAUAGAUGGACCCGCGCCGUAUUAGCUAGUUGGUAAGGUAACGGCUUACCAAGGCAACGAUACGUAGCCGACCUGAGAGGGUGAUCGGCCACACUGGAACUGAGACACGGUCCAGACUCCUACGGGAGGCAGCAGUAGGGAAUCUUCCGCAAUGGGCGAAAGCCUGACGGAGCAACGCCGCGUGAGUGAUGAAGGUCUUCGGAUCGUAAAACUCUGUUAUUAGGGAAGAACAAAUGUGUAAGUAACUGUGCACGUCUUGACGGUACCUAAUCAGAAAGCCACGGCUAACUACGUGCCAGCAGCCGCGGUAAUACGUAGGUGGCAAGCGUUAUCCGGAAUUAUUGGGCGUAAAGCGCGCGUAGGCGGUUUCUUAAGUCUGAUGUGAAAGCCCACGGCUCAUCCGUGGAGGGUCAUUGGAAACUGGGAAACUUGAGUGCAGAAGAGGAAAGUGGAAUUCCAUGUGUAGCGGUGAAAUGCGCAGAGAUAUGGAGGAACACCAGUGGCGAAGGCGACUUUUCUGGUCUGUAACUGACGCUGAUGUGCGAAAGCGUGGGGAUCAAACAGGAUU